UGAUUCAGCGGCGGACGGGUGAGUAAUGCCUANGAAUCUGCCUGGUAGUGGGGGACAACGUUUCGAAAGGAACGCUAAUACCGCAUACGUCCUACGGGAGAAAGCAGGGGACCUUCGGGCCUUGCGCUAUCAGAUGAGCCUAGGUCGGAUUAGCUAGUUGGUGGGGUAAUGGCUCACCAAGGCGACGAUCCGUAACUGGUCUGAGAGGAUGAUCAGUCACACUGGAACUGAGACACGGUCCAGACUCCUACGGGAGGCAGCAGUGGGGAAUAUUGGACAAUGGGCGAAAGCCUGAUCCAGCCAUGCCGCGUGUGUGAAGAAGGUCUUCGGAUUGUAAAGCACUUUAAGUUGGGAGGAAGGGCAGUAAGUUAAUACCUUGCUGUUUUGACGUUACCGACAGAAUAAGCACCGGCUAACUCUGUGCCAGCAGCCGCGGUAAUACAGAGGGUGCAAGCGUUAAUCGGAAUUACUGGGCGUAAAGCGCGCGUAGGUGGUUUGUUAAGUUGGAUGUGAAAGCCCCCGGGCUCAACCCUGGGAACUGCAUCCAAAACUG
RNAcentral lists this ribosomal RNA (553 nucleotides) under uncultured Pseudomonadota bacterium. Its description in RNAcentral is "bacterial SSU rRNA". It matches the Rfam family "Bacterial small subunit ribosomal RNA", at positions 88 to 635 of the family's 1533-position model. The record is from RNAcentral. Lineage: Bacteria; Pseudomonadati; Pseudomonadota.